Molecule: long non-coding RNA, 1596 nt
Organism: Ostrea edulis (European flat oyster)
Lineage: Eukaryota; Metazoa; Mollusca; Bivalvia; Ostreida; Ostreidae
Exons: 2
Source: RefSeq, a predicted model, not a curated record
CUGAUUAGCUAUUAUAUUACAUGUACAUAUUAGUCAAGCAUGAAAUAUUCUGUUUUUAAAACGUUUGGACAUCGUCUGAGAAAAACGUAGAAAGUCCCUGAGAAUUAUGUUGUUUGUGUCGCCGUUAUUAGGGAUUAUUUGUACACUCAUUACAAUAAGAUUUAAAGUUUCUCCACAAUCAUUCUAUAACUAUCACUUUGCUAAAUCAAUAAUAAAGCUGAUCACCAAAUUUACAUUGCUUGAGUGAGUAUACAUCAUAAAGUCAACGUUACCCUACCGACGUUUUUCCAGUUUAUUCCGGUUUAUAGACAUGUUCCAUUUACGUUUUCUUAAAAGUUAGUUCUGGCAAUGUUCCCAUUCGGCAAACAUCGGCAGAUUCCGGUACCCUACAUCUGAAGGUGGAAAAGUCGUGUUCAUUAUCAAGAAAAUAAAUAAAAUGUGCUUCCCUGUCGAGAAUGUCCAUACUUAACAUGUACUUAUACUGUAGACAUUUAAUCCGCCUAUUCAAUGAACGCGGGAAAUAGAAUGCAGUCGAUGUAAACAGUACAUUCUGACGUCAUAUUAGUUGUGGGUUUUUUUUAUACCCCCCGCAAAUGAAGUUUGGGGGGUAUACUGGAAUCACUUUGUCCGUCCGUCCGUCCGUCUGUCCGUCCGUUUGUCCGUAGAAGCAAUUUGUCCGAAGUUUAUUUCUAAUACCGCUGGACAUAUUUCAUUCAAACUUUAUGCACAUCUUCUAUAUAUUAUGUAGUUGUGCAUUUCCUAUUUUCAUUGAAAUAUUUUAACAGUUAUAGAAGUUACGCACAUUUUCUUUUCAUUUUGGGGGUUGCGCACUUUGUCCAGAGUUUAAUUCUAAUACCGUUCAACAAAUUUGAUUCAAACUUUAUUCUCAUCUUAUAUAUAUAUAAUGUAGUUGUGCAUCUUCUAUUUUCAUUGAAAUAUUUUAACGUUUAUGGAAGUUACGGACAUUUUCUGAUUUGGUUGUACAUUGUAUAUUGCUAUCGGAGAUGUGCACUGGUCGAGUCCACCUAGAAAAAUUCACCCAGGUGUGACAAUCACAUUUGGGGUGCAUACGGGUAGAGUAAAUUAGGCUACCUGAGAGAAAUAUAGCGGAUAAGAUGAGAAAUGUGUACGUAUUUAUUAAUUCAUGUUAGCUUUUAGCUCUUCGUCAGGUUUUUGCAAGUUUUGGAUGGGAACAACGUCAUGUUCCUCGUUAGGACUCGUGGUUGUAGACAUGCAGGACAGAAUUAGACGAAGUGCAGGCCUAGGAUUUUAAUGAAGGCUCGCAGUGGUGCCCUGGCAUAGUUCUUCAUAAAUUUUUGAGCCUCAAAACCAGCCUCCCUCAUGCCGAGUCAUGGUCGUUGCCUGGAAACAACAGGUCGUCAUCAUAAAAUCCUAUAGAUAUAGCUCGUCUCCAUUUCUUUGCUUCCAAUAUCAAAAUCAUUGUAUGAAUUCGCCAUGUUGCAGAAGGCCUAGUUCUAGUAGUUGCAGACGGUAUCUAAAAUGAAACCACGGUUUGUUUAAUGUUUUUGUCUUAUUGGUAAAUUAAAUCCUUGUCUGUUUACAAAUUAACCUCUGUAUAUAUAUUCUGAUGCGGUU